UCCGGUUGAUCCCGCCGGAGGUCACUGCUAUUGGGAUUCGACUAAGCCAUGCGAGUCGAGAGGGUUCGGCCCUCGGCUGACGGCUCAGUAACACGUGGAUAAUCUGCCCUAAGGUGGGGAAUACCCUCGGGAAACUGAGAAUAAUGCCCCAUAGGUCUAGGAUGCUGGAAUGCACUUAGGCUGAAAGUUUCGGCGCCUUAGGAUGAGUCUGCGGACUAUCAGGUUGUAGUCAGGGUAAAGACCUGACUAGCCUACGACGGAUACGGGUUGUGAGAGCAAUAACCCGGAGAUGAUAUCUGAGACACGAUAUCAGGCCCUACGGGGCGCAGCAGGCGCGAAAACUUCACAAUGCGCGAAAGCGCGAUGAGGGAAUCCCAAGUGCUUGCACGUUAGUGUAAGCUGUUUCUAUGUCUAAAACGCAUAGAGAGUAAGGGCUGGGUAAGACGGGUGCCAGCCGCCGCGGUAAUACCUGCAGCUCAAGUGGUGGCCGCUAUUAUUGGGCCUAAAACGUCCGUAGCCUGUUUAUUAAAUGCCUGGGUAAAUCGUGUAGCUUAACUAUACGAAUUCCGGGUAGACUGAUAAACUUGAGAUCGGGAGAAGUUAGAGGUACUCCUGGGGUAGAGGUGAAAUUCUGUAAUCCUAGGGGGACCACCAGUGGCGAAGGCGUCUAACUAGAACGAGUCUGACGGUGAGGGACGAAGCCCUGGGGCGCAAACGGGAUUAGAUACCCCGGUAGUCCAGGGUGUAAGCGCUGCUUGCUUGAUGUUAGUCGGGCUCCGAGCCCGAUUAGUGUCGGAGAGAAGUUGUUAAGCAAGCUGCCUGGGAAGUACGAUCGCAAGACUGAAACUUAAAGGAAUUGGCGGGGGAGCACAGCAACGGGUGGAGCGUGCGGUUUAAAUGGAUUCAACGCCGG
RNAcentral lists this ribosomal RNA (913 nucleotides) under uncultured archaeon. RNAcentral's name for it is "bacterial SSU rRNA". It matches the Rfam family "Archaeal small subunit ribosomal RNA", at positions 1 to 921 of the family's 1478-position model. The record is from RNAcentral.